RNAcentral lists this ribosomal RNA (465 nucleotides) under Vreelandella stevensii. RNAcentral describes it as "partial 16S ribosomal RNA". It matches the Rfam family "Bacterial small subunit ribosomal RNA", at positions 338 to 795 of the family's 1533-position model. Lineage: Bacteria; Pseudomonadati; Pseudomonadota; Gammaproteobacteria; Oceanospirillales; Halomonadaceae. The record is from RNAcentral.
CCUACGGGUGGCAGCAGUGGGGAAUAUUGGACAAUGGGCGAAAGCCUGAUCCAGCCAUGCCGCGUGUGUGAAGAAGGCCUUCGGGUUGUAAAGCACUUUCAGUGGGGAAGAAAGCCUUGGGGCUAAUACCCUCGAGGAAGGACAUCACCCACAGAAGAAGCACCGGCUAACUCCGUGCCAGCAGCCGCGGUAAUACGGAGGGUGCGAGCGUUAAUCGGAAUUACUGGGCGUAAAGCGCGCGUAGGCGGUCUGAUAAGCCGGUUGUGAAAGCCCCGGGCUCAACCUGGGAACGGCAUCCGGAACUGUCAGGCUAGAGUGCAGGAGAGGAAGGUAGAAUUCCCGGUGUAGCGGUGAAAUGCGUAGAGAUCGGGAGGAAUACCAGUGGCGAAGGCGGCCUUCUGGACUGACACUGACGCUGAGGUGCGAAAGCGUGGGUAGCAACCAGGAUUAGAUACCCCAGUAGUC